Molecule: ribosomal RNA, 775 nt
Filed under: uncultured Neocallimastigales
Lineage: Eukaryota; Fungi; Neocallimastigomycota; Neocallimastigomycetes; Neocallimastigales
Description: partial large subunit ribosomal RNA
Rfam family: Eukaryotic large subunit ribosomal RNA
Source: RNAcentral
UCAGACGAUGCGUCAUGCAUAUCAAUAAGCGGAGGAAAAGAAACUAACAAGGAUUCCCCUAGUAACGGCGAGUGAAGCGGGAAGAGCUCAAAUUUGAAAUCUUAAAGGGUUUCCCUUUACGAAUUGUAGUUUAAAGAAGUGUUCUCUGUUGAGGUUUUGGCUAAAAGUUCUUUGGAAUAGGACAUCAUAGAGGGUGAGAAUCCCGUAUUUGACCUUUACUUUCAACUUUGUGAUACACUUUCAAAGAGUCGGAUUGUUUGGGAAUGCAGUCCAAAAUGGGUGGUAAAUUUCAUCUAAAGCUAAAUAUUGGCGAGAGACCGAUAGCGAACAAGUACCGUGAGGGAAAGAUGAGAAGAACUUUGAAAAGAGAGUUAAACAGUACGUGAAAUUGUCAAAAGGGAAGCGUUUGACACCAGUGUUGUUUUUCUGAAAAUCAAUUAAAGAACUGUUUAUGCUAAGCUGUUUAGACUUUAUCAGCUAACUGUUUAGUUUUGAGCUUUUCUUUAAUGCACUUUUCAGUUAACAAGUCAACAUCAAUUUCUUUUGCUGUAAAAAAGCUUGAGGAAGGUGGCUUGAGAUUCGUCUUAAGUGUUUAUAGCCUCUUGCCUAUGCAGUCGGAGAGAUUGAGGUCUGCAGCGUAGAUCCUUCGGGGCUAAAUGCAUUUGUGCUAAGUUAUAGCAUUUUAUAGACAACUUGUUGACUAUGAUUUGUCUUGUAGCUUACUCGCUUAUGUUAUUUUACCUACGCUUAGGAUGUUGAAUCUGUGCGAGACUAC